This 599-nucleotide ribosomal RNA is filed under the name uncultured Herminiimonas sp. RNAcentral's name for it is "bacterial SSU rRNA". It matches the Rfam family "Bacterial small subunit ribosomal RNA", at positions 898 to 1501 of the family's 1533-position model. Lineage: Bacteria; Pseudomonadati; Pseudomonadota; Betaproteobacteria; Burkholderiales; Oxalobacteraceae. The record is from RNAcentral.
AACUCAAAGGAAUUGACGGGGACCCGCACAAGCGGUGGAUGAUGUGGAUUAAUUCGAUGCAACGCGAAAAACCUUACCUACCCUUGACAUGUACGGAACCUCUGAGAGAUUAGAGGGUGCUCGAAAGAGAGCCGUAACACAGGUGCUGCAUGGCUGUCGUCAGCUCGUGUCGUGAGAUGUUGGGUUAAGUCCCGCAACGAGCGCAACCCUUGUCAUUAGUUGCUACGAAAGGGCACUCUAAUGAGACUGCCGGUGACAAACCGGAGGAAGGUGGGGAUGACGUCAAGUCCUCAUGGCCCUUAUGGGUAGGGCUUCACACGUCAUACAAUGGUACAUACAGAGGGCCGCCAACCCGCGAGGGGGAGCUAAUCCCAGAAAGUGUAUCGUAGUCCGGAUUGUAGUCUGCAACUCGACUACAUGAAGUUGGAAUCGCUAGUAAUCGCGGAUCAGCAUGUCGCGGUGAAUACGUUCCCGGGUCUUGUACACACCGCCCGUCACACCAUGGGAGCGGGUUUCACCAGAAGUAGGUAGCCUAACCGCAAGGAGGGCGCUUACCACGGUGGGAUUCGUGACUGGGGUGAAGUCGUAACAAGGUAACC